AAUCAACGCUGGCGGCGUGCCUAACACAUGCAAGUCGCACGAGAAAGGGUCUUCGGAUCUGAGUAAAGUGGCGCACGGGUGAGUAACACGUGAAUUAUCUACCUUCGAGUGGGGAAUAACUUCGGGAAACCGAGGCUAAUACCGCAUAAUAUCUACGGAUCAAAGCAGUAAUGCGCUUGAAGAGGAGUUCGCAGCAGAUUAGUUAGUUGGCGGGGUAAUGGCCCACCAAGACGAUGAUCUGUAUCCGGCCUGAGAGGGCGCACGGACACACUGGAACUGAAACACGGUCCAGACUCCUACGGGAGGCAGCAGUGGGGAAUUUUGCGCAAUGGGGGAAACCCUGACGCAGCAACGCCGCGUGGAGGAUGAAGUCUCUUGGGACGUAAACUCCUUUCGAUAGGGAAGAUUAUGACGGUACCUAUAGAAGAAGCCCCGGCUAACUUCGUGCCAGCAGCCGCGGUAA
RNAcentral lists this ribosomal RNA (463 nucleotides) under uncultured bacterium. Its description in RNAcentral is "partial 16S ribosomal RNA". It matches the Rfam family "Bacterial small subunit ribosomal RNA", at positions 32 to 523 of the family's 1533-position model. The record is from RNAcentral.